GCCUGAUUAGCACAGUGGUAAUGCGUUGCACUCGUACUCUCAUUCCAAGAAUAUGCAAAGAUCACUGGUUCGAUUCCAGUAUUAGGCA
This is a non-coding RNA of Staphylotrichum tortipilum, 88 nucleotides long. The record is from the annotation of a GenBank genome assembly. NCBI's taxonomy places the organism in Eukaryota, Fungi, Ascomycota, Sordariomycetes, Sordariales, Chaetomiaceae.